Molecule: ribosomal RNA, 1446 nt
Filed under: Weissella confusa
Lineage: Bacteria; Bacillati; Bacillota; Bacilli; Lactobacillales; Lactobacillaceae
Description: bacterial SSU rRNA
Rfam family: Bacterial small subunit ribosomal RNA
Source: RNAcentral
CGAACGCUUUGUGGUUCAACUGAUUUGAAGAAGCUUGCUCAGAUAUGACGAUGGACAUUGCAAAGAGUGGCGAACGGGUGAGUAACACGUGGGAAACCUACCUCUUAGCAGGGGAUAACAUUUGGAAACAGAUGCUAAUACCGUAUAACAAUGACAACCGCAUGGUUGUUAUUUAAAAGAUGGUUCUGCUAUCACUAAGAGAUGGUCCCGCGGUGCAUUAGCUAGUUGGUAAGGUAAUGGCUUACCAAGGCGAUGAUGCAUAGCCGAGUUGAGAGACUGAUCGGCCACAAUGGGACUGAGACACGGCCCAUACUCCUACGGGAGGCAGCAGUAGGGAAUCUUCCACAAUGGGCGAAAGCCUGAUGGAGCAACGCCGCGUGUGUGAUGAAGGGUUUCGGCUCGUAAAACACUGUUGUAAGAGAAGAAUGACAUUGAGAGUAACUGUUCAAUGUGUGACGGUAUCUUACCAGAAAGGAACGGCUAAAUACGUGCCAGCAGCCGCGGUAAUACGUAUGUUCCAAGCGUUAUCCGGAUUUAUUGGGCGUAAAGCGAGCGCAGACGGUUAUUUAAGUCUGAAGUGAAAGCCCUCAGCUCAACUGAGGAAUUGCUUUGGAAACUGGAUGACUUGAGUGCAGUAGAGGAAAGUGGAACUCCAUGUGUAGCGGUGAAAUGCGUAGAUAUAUGGAAGAACACCAGUGGCGAAGGCGGCUUUCUGGACUGUAACUGACGUUGAGGCUCGAAAGUGUGGGUAGCAAACAGGAUUAGAUACCCUGGUAGUCCACACCGUAAACGAUGAGUGCUAGGUGUUUGAGGGUUUCCGCCCUUAAGUGCCGCAGCUAACGCAUUAAGCACUCCGCCUGGGGAGUACGACCGCAAGGUUGAAACUCAAAGGAAUUGACGGGGACCCGCACAAGCGGUGGAGCAUGUGGUUUAAUUCGAAGCAACGCGAAGAACCUUACCAGGUCUUGACAUCCCUUGACAACUCCAGAGAUGGAGUGUUCCCUUCGGGGACAAGGUGACAGGUGGUGCAUGGUUGUCGUCAGCUCGUGUCGUGAGAUGUUGGGUUAAGUCCCGCAACGAGCGCAACCCUUAUUACUAGUUGCCAGCAUUCAGUUGGGCACUCUAGUGAGACUGCCGGUGACAAACCGGAGGAAGGUGGGGAUGACGUCAAAUCAUCAUGCCCCUUAUGACCUGGGCUACACACGUGCUACAAUGGCGUAUACAACGAGUUGCCAACCCGCGAGGGUGAGCUAAUCUCUUAAAGUACGUCUCAGUUCGGAUUGUAGGCUGCAACUCGCCUACAUGAAGUCGGAAUCGCUAGUAAUCGCGGAUCAGCACGCCGCGGUGAAUACGUUCCCGGGUCUUGUACACACCGCCCGUCACACCAUGAGAGUUUGUAACACCCAAAGCCGGUGGGGUAACCUUCGGGAGCCAGCCGUCUAAGUG